UAACUUAAAUUUACUUUUUCAAAAUUUAAUUUUCAUUUUAUUUCAAAUUUCUAUUACUAUACUAAUUUACUAUAAAUUUUUUUAAUUUUUUCUAUUAAAAUACUUUAACCCCCAUUAUUUAUUUUAAUAUUAAAAUUAUUUUUAUUAAAUUUAUAUUUAUUAAUUUUUAAUUUAU
Molecule: ribosomal RNA, 175 nt
Filed under: Arhopala barami
Lineage: Eukaryota; Metazoa; Arthropoda; Insecta; Lepidoptera; Lycaenidae
Description: partial 16S large subunit ribosomal RNA
Source: RNAcentral